AUAAUAGGUCAAGUGAAUGGUGCCUUGCAUUGGAGCCCUUGAAUCAUCAUCAUGAAAGAUCAAGAGGUGAGGCGUGAUGGACAUGUGAUUGGCAUGUGAUGUUGACUUGGUCAAAAUAUGGCACCACAUGAAAGGACAUAUCAUUUGAUACACCUCUUCACUUGAUCUGCGCCUCCUCUUAUUUGAUAUGGCCCUUUAGAUGAUGGUCUUUCAUGAAAGGAUGUACGGAUGGGAUGCAUCCCUUGGAGAUGCAUCCCCACGCCUAUUAUAAAUAGGCUAGCGCUCCAUGGGUUUUAUCAUUCCAACUCCACCGCAUUCUCUCUCCCUUAUCCCUUCUUUCUUACAAGCCUUUGUCUCUUCUAGCAUUACUUCUAGAGUGUCCUAAGUCAAGACAAGGUGGUCUUCUUUAGGACAAAAAGAUUAGAAGUGAUUUAGAAAGGUGAAAGAAAAAUAAGAGAGAAGAGAAAGUAAGCCAAUUUAAAUCCUUUGGAAGGAUUUAGCAUUAAGGAUCAAAAGUCUUUGGAGCUAAAGUCUUGAUCGAGUUUCCGUAUGGAUCACCAUUGGAGGGCGGACACUGGGACGCCUCGUGGAGAUCAUUCAUAUUGGAUCAGCGUUUGAGGUAUUCUUCUAUUCCUAUAUUUAUAUUUAUAUAUUAUUUGAUUGUUACCAUUAAGAUGAUCUAGGCUUAUAAAGGUUUCAUGUUAAAGGACUUUAUUAAGAAAUUUUUAAAAUCCCUAGCUUCCGCUGCCCAUUAUGACAUGUUAGAACCCUACAAUGGUAUCAAAGCCAUCCUUAAUUGGUUCAAUCAAAUAAUUAUGCAUGAUGUAUGAUUAUUAAAUUACUAUGAGAUAGUAAUAUCAUAUGUUUAGAAGAAUGCUGAAUUAUAUGAUUCAUAUAUGAUAUAUAAUAAAAUGUCAUGAUAUAAAUUUUUCAUAUGAAGAUAUGUUGAAGCAUGUUAAUUAAUCCAAUCAAUUGGUAAUAAUUUGUACAUGCUAUGAGAUAGCCAUGAUGUUUAUAUACUAUAAGAUAGUAUUAUGUUAUAAAUAUCAUGAUAUGAAUUUUCAUGUGAAGAUAUGUUAAUUGAUUUAGUUAAUUGGUACAUGCUAUGAGAUAGCCAUGAUGCAUAAUAGUUGGUUAUGAUUUAUAUAUGCUAUGAAAUAGAUAUAUAAUUUACUAUAGCAUAUACAAAGACAUGUUCAACAUAUUACAAUUAUAGAAUGUGCAUGAGACCAGUAAGCCCUCAAUAAAAUUUUAUUAAGUCAUAGUGUUGAAAAACUUUGAGCUGACCCAUUCUAAAACAAUUUAUCUAAUUGGUGUCUAAGGAACGCACUAAAGGUUGUUCUCUAAUUAAGACCUUACUCUCUGAGUAAGGGGAGCCCCCCACCUGCUUACCUGGCCAAUUGUUUGAUUGCCUAUUAUAGAUAAGCUUAAUGUUGAUAAAACACUACUGAUAUCCUUCCUUCAUACCUCGACAUUAUUAUGUCAAGAUCCAUGCUAGUUUGUUGUGCAACCACAAGGCUUGCAAUGGGAACUGAUGUUAUACUGUCUUGGUGCAUAGAGAUGCUUAUGGCAUAUUUUAAUAUGUUGCUUUGUUGUGCAACCACAAGAGCAAUAUUAUUUGAAUAUGACUGACUGUAUGGAAAUGAAGGGUUUGACUUAACUAAAAUAUUAUAGUUUGUUGUGCAACCACAAGGCUAUAAGUGUUUUAAGAGGACAGGAUAAAGUUGAGAAUUGCAUGAGAUGCAAUUGAAAAGAGUUUCCUACCUUUGAAUUCAUAAGGGUUUGUUGUGUAACCAAAAGGCUUUUAUGAUGAAUUAGCAUCUCAACCCUACUAAGAAAAAUUAGGCUUUUUCUCAUUCAUCAUAGGAGAGGGCUAUGAUAUUCGAUAAAAUAGUGGGAGUAACAAUUAGAUAAAGUCCUAGUCUAAUUGUAUACAUGUCACCAUGAUUGGUCUGUUUAUGUUAGUUUUGUUCUUUGUAUAUGUAGAAUAAAAUUCUGCAUUAAUGACAUCUUCACUAUCACUAAGAAGCAUCUUAGAUGCCAACAAGUUGACCGGUCCGAACUAUAUGAACUGGUUGAGGAAUCUUAAAAUUGUUCUCACUCAAGAGAAACUUUCUUACAUCCUCAAAACCCCUGAUCUUAGAUCAAUAGGGGAUGAUGCUACUAAAAGUAGUAAGAUAAAGAGAAAGAAGGAAAGAAAAUCUCCAGAUCAAGUACCUAUUUCCAUUGCGGCAAGGAAGGCCACUAGAAAAGGAAUUACAAGAGUUUUCUUGCAACUGUAAAGCCUGAUGCAAGAGUUGCAUCAAAAGAUAUGUUUAUGUUACAUGCCAAUUUGUCAUUAAGUUCUUCAAAUUCAAAUUUACGGAUAUUGGAUACUGGCUGUGGUUUUCAUAUAUGCAAGACAUUGCAUGGACUGAAAAUUAGAAUUUUGAAGAAAGGUGACUUCAAGCUUUAUGGCGCUGGAGGAGAGUCCCUCCAGGCUGAAACUGUUGGAACCUACAGAUUAGAGUUGCCGUCGAGCAAGCUCCUGGGAUUAGAACAUUGUUAUCAUAUGCCUAAGAUUAUAAGAAAUGUAAUUUCCAUUCCUUUGUUAUUAAAGUAACGAUUUGAGAUUAAUGGAAAGGGCAAUGGUUGCCCUAUUUUUUUUUCUAAUAAGCAUCUUUGCAAUGGCAUUAUGAAAAAUGGUCUUCUAGUUCUAUCCCUUAAUGACAAUAUUUAUCAUAUUGAUAAAAGUAAUAAAAGAAAGAGAGAAGAGGUAAAUAACACCCUCUUUUGGCAUUGCUGUCUAGGUCAUAUUAGUGAGUUAAGAAUACACAAGUUAUACAAAGGAAAGUUCUUUGAUCCUUAUGAUUUUGAAUCAUUAGGAACUUGUGAAUCUUGUCUUAUGGGCAAAAUGACCAAGUCUCCAUUCACUGGACAUGGAGAAAGGGCAAGUGAGUUGCUAGGACUUGUGCAUACAGAUAUAUGUGGUCCUAUGACAACUCCAACUAGAGGUGGAUACUCUUACUUCAUCACAUUCACUGAUAUGUGUAUCUUAUGAAACAUAAAUCCGAAGCCUUUCUAGUGAGUUUUUAAAAUUCUUCGAUCUGAUUGAGGAGGUAAAUACCUUUCUAGUGAGUUUUUAAAUCAUCUUAAAGAAAAGAGCAUUAUCUCUGAAUGGACACCUCCGUAUACGCCACAGUUAAAUGGUGUAGCCGAACGGAGGAAUCGUACUUUAUUAGAUAUGUUACAGUCCAUGAUGUGCUUUUAUCUUCCUAUUUUAUUCGAAGGUUUUGCCUUAGAGACUGCUGCAUUAAUAUUAAACAAGGUACCUUCAAAGUCUGUACCUAGCACUCCAUAUGAGAUAUGAAGAGGAAAGAAGCCUAAUCUUAAAUAUAUUAAGAUAUGGGGCUGUCAAGCUUAUGUCAAAAGAAAUUUUGGACACAAGCUAAGUGCUAGAUCAGAUAAGUGUAUUUUUGUAGGUUAUCCUAAAAUAGUAUAGGAUACAUCUUCUAUCAACCUACCGAACAAAAGGUCUCUGUAGGUAGGCAUGCCAUUUUCAUGGAGAAAGAGUUUUUCCUUGAAAAGUGCAAGGAUAGAAGAAUUGAACUUGAAGAAGUUCAAGACCUACAAAUGGAGACACAAAAUAUUCCUCAACCAGAUGUAUCUAUGAAUGAGAUACAACCACAACACACAUCUUCUCUCUGAAGGUCAAAUAGAGUGCGAAAUACACCUAAGAGGUAUGGUUUUGUCAUUGAGAAUGAUGAAGCUCACAUCAUUUAGAAUGAUGAUCCUCUAACCUAUUCGGAAGCUGUCAUGAGUAGUGACUCAGACAAAUGGCUAGAGGCCAUGAAAUCCGAAAUAGACUCUAUGUAUACCAACCAAGUAUGAACUUUGGUUGAUGCACCAGAGGGUGUAAACCCUAUAGGUUGCAAAUGGGUCUAUAAGAAAAAGACUGGAGCAGAUGACCAAGUAGAAACCUACAAGGCUAGAUUGGUGGCAAAAGGUUUCAGGCAAAAGCAAGAAAUUGACUAUGAUGAAACUUUUUCACCAGUAGCUAUGCUCAAAUCUAUUCGGAUUAUGCUUGCAAUAGCUGCAUACUAUGAUUAUGAAAUUUGGCAGAUGGAUGUUAAAACCAUCUUCCUUAAUGGUCAUUUUGAGGAAGAGGUUUACAUGACAUAGCCAGAAGAAUUUGUCUCAAGAGGGAGAGCAAAUCAAGUAUGCAAGAUUAAGAGAUCCAUUUAUGGAUUAAAGCAAGAAUCGAGGAGUUGGAACAUCCGUUUUGAUACAACAGACAAAGAGUUUGGUUUUAUCAAAAAUGUGGAUGAACCAUGUGUGUACAAGAAGACUAGUGGGAGUGCCAUUGUCUUCUUAAUAUUGUAUGUAGAUGACAUACUAAUUAUAGAAAAUGAUAUUUCUAUGUUACAAUCGGUCAAAACUUGGCUAUCAAAAAGCUUUUCCAUGAAAGACUUGGGAGAAGCAUCCUAUAUACUUGGUAUAAAGAUCUAUAGGGAUAGAUCUAAAAGGAUGCUAGGCUUGUCCCAGUCUAGGUACAUAGAUCAUGUGCUAAAAAGAUUCAGCAUGGAAGGAAGUAAAAGAGGUUACUUGCCUAUGAGUCAUGGCAUACGUUUUUUUAAGAAGAUGUCUCCUAAGACAUCUGAAGAGAGAAAUAGAAUGAAUUCUAUUCCCUAUGCUUCGGCAAUAGGAUCAAUAAUGUAUGCUAUGCUAUGUACCAGGCCUGAUGUUGCUUAUGCCUUAGGCAUAACAAAUAGAUUCCAGGCUGAUCCAGGAGAGGAUCAUUGGAUAGCUGUGAAAAAUAUUCUUAAGUACUUAGAGAAGGACUAAAGAUAUUUUUCUAGUUUAUGAUAGUUCUGAGUUGAAACUAGAAGGAUUUUUUGAUUCUAGUUUUCAGUCAGACCCAGAUGAUAGUAAGUCUACUUCAGGGUAUGUCUUUACCCUAAAUGGUGGUGCAGUGAGCUGGAAGAGUUAAAUAGCAAACUGUAGUUGACUCAACUACUGAGGCAGAAUACAUCGCUGUAAGUGAAGCCGCUAAAGAAGCUGUCUGGAUGAAGUAAUUCAUCUCAGAGUUGGAAGUAAUUCCUGAGAUUGUUGAACCAGUCCCAGUUUAUUGUGAUAACACUGGAGCUAUUGCUCAAGUAAAGGAACCAAGGUCUCAUCACAAAUUCAAGCACAUUCUAAGACGCUUCCACCUCGUUCGAGAGAUUGUCGAGAGACAAGACAUAGUCAUUGAACGAGUAGACACAAAGAACAACCUAGCAGACCCAUUCACUAAAGCUCUACCACAAUAGCAGUUUGAUUGCCACCUUGAUUGUAUGGGGAUAAAAUAUAAAAGCGAUUGGCUUUAGUGCAAGUGGAAGAUUGAAAGAAUAGAUGCCCUACAAGCCAAUCGCAAUAUGUAUUGCGAAGGAUUUUCUUUUGAUUUUUCAAAUCAUGUACAUGACAUUUAAUAUAAAUAAAGGUAUUAUGUUUCAUCAUAUCUUGUUGAUUAUAUUUGUGAUGAACCCCUUAGAUUAGGGCAAUGGUUUUGAGACUAUGAUGAGAUCAUACAAGUGAGAUAUUACUGGAUAGACUGGCACAUCUUAUGUAUGCUCGAUGCAGAGGGUGAUUGAUCUCACAAUCACAAAGAUGUGGAUGCUUAUUAGAGGAAUGAGUUCACUGAAUUGACCUGAAAAGAGAAAUCUCAUGAAGUCUUACUUACAUGUCAAAAGAUGAUUUUCUUAGUCGGAGUUGUGCAACUGAUCCUAUGACCUAAGAUCACCAUGGUAUCUUGUGCACAUGAAUCCAUAUUUUGGUUUACACUCAUUCAUGACUUUAAGUUAUGUACGGGUCUUCUGGAUAUGGUGAAUUGUAUACGAAGAUUAUGAGUAGAUCAACAAGAAAUUAAUCACUUCUAGUAAGAGAAGUUCGCAUCCUAUUUAUUCUAUUCAUAUGAUAAUUCAGGAAGCCUUUGAUCAAAGUAGAAUGAAAAUUAGAAAGAGUUUUUAAUAUUUCAUUAUUUGAAUUAUCAAUAAAAGAUUGAGAAAGAUAUGAAUAUGAAAUUGAGUUUGAUAUAUAUUCAUACUCAUAUACAUAUUCGGGAUGCAGUUUGAUUAAAGGAUUGAAUUGCACGGUAACUUGCCACUGAAGGGUAUUUUUGGUAUUUCAUCCAAAUUUCAUAUUUUUCGGGUAGACAUGACACGUUGCUAGACGUCAAUCUUGUUUUAUAGGUUUGAUCGAAUUAAAGAGUUUAAUUCGAUCACCAAUUAGAAAGAAUUCUAAUUGUUAAGUUCGGAUUCACGCAGUUUGGACCUAAAUCGAUUAGAAGAGUUCUAAUCAAGUUGGGUCAACUCGCACUCACACCUAUUGCUGGCUAAAUAUAGAACCCAAUGUGUCACACACAAGAAAACUUAUCAAGGGUCUAAUUGGAUUAGAUCAUGUUUGCAAGAUAGACAUCCUAGCAGGUGUUGCAAACCCUUAGCUCCUAAUUUGAAUUGGAUUCGAAUCUGAUUCAAAUUGGAUUCGAAUCUGAUUCUUAAUUGAUCUAAUUUGAUUAGAUCAUAUCCUAAUAUUGGUUAGCCAAGAGUUAGCACCUAACUGGCUUGGUUUGAUUCUAAUUAGAUUAGAUUUGAUAAAUCAUUCAUUUUUGACCGUUAGAUCUUCAUCUACCGUUGGAUGAAGACAUAAUGGUGAGUUAAUUCAAAGUCAAUUAGAUUGGGUUAGACAAGGGCUAUCACCUUUGACCAUUGAAUCUUCAUCCCACCGUUGGAUGAAGACAUAAUGGGUUAAGUGAAUGGCGCCUUGCAUUGGAGCCCUUGGAUUAUCAUCAUGAAAGAUCAAGAGUUGAGGCAUGAUGGACAUGUGAUUGGCAUGCGAUGUUGACUUGGUCAAAAUAUGGCACCACAUGAAAGGACUAUUAUUUGAUACACCUCUUCACUUGAUCUGCGCCUCCUCUUAUUUGAUAUGGCCCUUUAGAUGAUG
Molecule: long non-coding RNA, 6957 nt
Filed under: Phoenix dactylifera (date palm)
Lineage: Eukaryota; Viridiplantae; Streptophyta; Magnoliopsida; Arecales; Arecaceae
Description: long non-coding RNA (PDAC_LNC007874)
Source: RNAcentral